CAAGAUCAUUAGGGGUGCCUUAAUAUAACGGGCUGAGAUCAUACCCAUAUCACCUGAAACGGAUAAUGCCGGCGCAGGGAAAUGAAAAAUAGCUAAU
This 97-nucleotide non-coding RNA is filed under the name Cyclobacterium marinum. Its description in RNAcentral is "TPP sequence". It matches the Rfam family "TPP riboswitch aptamer (THI element)". Rfam says of the family: Vitamin B(1) in its active form thiamin pyrophosphate (TPP) is an essential coenzyme that is synthesised by coupling of pyrimidine and thiazole moieties in bacteria. The previously detected thiamin-regulatory element, thi box was extended, resulting in a new, highly conserved RNA secondary structure, the THI element, which is widely distributed in eubacteria and also occurs in some archaea. RNAcentral also lists the same sequence under 1 other name. The record is from RNAcentral. Lineage: Bacteria; Pseudomonadati; Bacteroidota; Cytophagia; Cytophagales; Cyclobacteriaceae.